CCCUAUGGGGUCGCUGCGGAAGGGCCGCAGGCCUCGGGGCAUCUGCGCGGCCAGGGUGGUGAGGACGUGUUCGGGGUCCAAGGCCUCGCGCAGGGUCAGGGUGAACCAUUCGGCGCUGCUCUCCACGCCCACGGGCAGGGCGCGCCCGAAGGACACGCGCGGCAUGGGGUGGAAGCCCGCGCUGAAGGACAGCGGAAACUUGGUACGGCGCAGGGCGCGCUCCAGGAUGCUCUGCACUUCGGGCUGGCUUAAGUAGGCGGCCUCGGCCAGCUUCUCGUACCAGAUGCGGUACUGGGCCUGGCGGUCGGAGAGGCCCAGGUCGGCGGGCUUGGCCGGGCUGGCGGGAAUUUCCUGGGAAUUGGCGGGGGGGC
RNAcentral lists this ribosomal RNA (371 nucleotides) under uncultured prokaryote. RNAcentral's name for it is "partial 16S ribosomal RNA". The record is from RNAcentral.